RNAcentral lists this long non-coding RNA (370 nucleotides) under Gallus gallus (chicken). The record is from RNAcentral. Lineage: Eukaryota; Metazoa; Chordata; Aves; Galliformes; Phasianidae.
GUGCUCAGAGCCCUGGCCCUCACAGGAUCCCCAGUGAAUGUGAAACUGCACCAACCUGUAGACUCCAUCCAGCGCUCCUCCUUGCAGCACUGACUUGUCGGAGGAGUCGUCAAACUCCACGUUGAAGGAGUGCCCGUUGUUGACGAUGGCUUUGGCCGUGCCGGCAUCGUAGCUGAAGCUGAGGGGCUUCAGCGCGGGGUCGUAGCGGGCGGCUUUGGUGCUGAUGGCGAUGGGCGACUGGCGCUCCCCAUUGGCGAUGGGGAAGUGCUCGUGCCAGUGCGCGGGUCCGUUGUGGCUGUCGUACCCCCAGUGAUGGGACAUGGUGCGCCGGCCCGGCUCCGUCGGCUAUCGCAACGCCGUGGCCUCGGCG